This 151-nucleotide small nucleolar RNA is filed under the name Suricata suricatta (meerkat). Its description in RNAcentral is "Small nucleolar RNA U3 (ENSSSUG00005012215.1)". The stretch from base 1 to 124 matches the Rfam family "Small nucleolar RNA U3". From Rfam's summary of the family: Small nucleolar RNAs (snoRNAs) are involved in the processing and modification of rRNA in the nucleolus. Lineage: Eukaryota; Metazoa; Chordata; Mammalia; Carnivora; Herpestidae. The record is from Rfam by way of RNAcentral.
AAGACUAUACUUUCAGGGAUCAUUUCUAUAGUUUGUUAUUAAAAAUAAUUCUUUUAGAGGGACGAACAGAGGGAGAGAGGGAGAAAGAAUCUCAAGUCAGUUCCAUGCCCAGCAUGGAGCCUGACAUGGGGUUAGAUCUCAACGACUCUGA